AGAGUUUGAUCAUGGCUCAGGACGAACGCUGACGGUGUGCUUUAGGCAUGCAAGUCGAACGAGAAAGCCCUUCGGGGUGAGUAAAGUGGCGAACGGGUGAGUAACACGUGGGCAACCUGCCCCUCGCAGGGGGACAACCGGAGGAAACUCCGGCUAAUACCCCGUACGCUUGUUGGAUCGCAUGGUCCGGCAAGGAAAGGUAGCUUCGGCCAUCCGGCGAGGGAUGGGCCCGCGUUGCAUUAGCUAGUUGGUGGGGUAACGGCCUACCAAGGCGACGAUGCGUAGCUGGUCUGAGAGGAUGAUCAGCCACACUGGGACUGAGACACGGCCCAGACUCCUACGGGAGGCAGCAGCCAGGAAUCUUGGGCAAUGGGCGAAAGCCUGACCCAGCAACACCGUGUGGGCGAUGAAGGCCUUAGGGUCGUAAAGCCCUGUUGAUAGGGACGAAGGGCGAAGGGUUAAUAGCCCCUAGCUUGACGGUACCUUUCGAGGAAGCCCCGGCUAACUACGUGCCAGCAGCCGCGGUAAUACGUAGGGGGCGAGCGUUGUCCGGAAUUAUUGGGCGUAAAGAGCGUGUAGGCGGUUCGGUAAGUCUGCUGUGAAAUCCUGGGGCUCAACCCUGGGCGUGCAGCGGAUACUGCCGGGCUAGAGGGUGGUAGAGGCGAGUGGAAUUCCGAGUGUAGCGGUGAAAUGCGCAGAUAUUCGGAGGAACACCAGUAGCGAAGGCGGCUCGCUGGGCCACACCUGACGCUGAGACGCGAAAGCGUGGGGAGCGAACAGGAUUAGAUACCCCUGUAGUCC
This 801-nucleotide ribosomal RNA is filed under the name uncultured bacterium. Its description in RNAcentral is "bacterial SSU rRNA". It matches the Rfam family "Bacterial small subunit ribosomal RNA", at positions 8 to 796 of the family's 1533-position model. The record is from RNAcentral.